Molecule: long non-coding RNA, 928 nt
Organism: Acanthopagrus latus (yellowfin seabream)
Lineage: Eukaryota; Metazoa; Chordata; Actinopteri; Spariformes; Sparidae
Exons: 3
Source: RefSeq, a predicted model, not a curated record
AUUCAUACAGUACCAUGUCCCGGGUCUGACCCCCCUGGACCCUCUGGGUUUAUCCCUGCUGGUUCUGACCCUGGUGGUCUUCAGUUGGACAACACAGCCGCCAUUUUACUUUGAGGACUCUCGGCUACUUUUGCUCGCUCCGGCUGGGUGUAGUGGACGAUGUGCUGCAGGAUCCCCCACAGAGAGAUCGGGAUGGUCAGAAAGACGAAGAUGCCGGCGAUGAACCAGGCUUUACUCAGGUGAGGGUGGAGGUGACGAAGCAGGAAGUCUACCUUGUCUUUCUGCAGCUCCCAGAUGCAGAGCGGCAGCACGGCCACCAGCAGGAGGCCGUAGAGAACCAGAACCAGCGGGCGGAUCCACCUCCUCCACUCUGCGCAGGAACACGGCAUGAUGGCUGCUUCACCCUCAGCCUCGACUACAGACACAUCCUACAACCUCGGGCCAAACCUGGAGGACGGACGUGUCAGAUGAUACGACCGAAACUGGCAGAAAUGAACGACAGUUCCCGAAGUGUUAGCACAGACAAGCUAACUGCACCUAGCAUUGCUGUUUACUAGCUCAUAUUGUUCCACAGUGUUAAAGCAGCUUCCUUAUUGGUCAACAGCAAAUAUUUGUGAGUCAACGCUCACCAAAUUUGAGCUAAAUGCUAAAGCUAACACCUUAAAAGAGAUGUAUGCCACUCCACAGCAGCAAGCCAAUUACCUGACCACAACAAUACCAUUUCAAUUUAGAUUUUUUUUAAAAAACAAUUAAAGAAAACAGUGUUUUUAUGUGCAUGUUUUCUUUGCUCCUGUUCAAAGUGGGCGCUAACUGUUUAGAAGCUAAUGUAGCUAAUGUUAUCGAUUGAGGUUUCUCUGUUCAAAUAAACACAAAUCUGUAGAAUACAGUUCAGUCACAGUAAUAAAGUGUUCAUUAUCUCAACAUAUAA